Molecule: RNA transcript, 2288 nt
Organism: Sciurus carolinensis (gray squirrel)
Lineage: Eukaryota; Metazoa; Chordata; Mammalia; Rodentia; Sciuridae
Gene: Zc3hc1
Gene name: zinc finger C3HC-type containing 1
Exons: 12
Source: RefSeq, a predicted model, not a curated record
AGAUGGCGGCGUCCAGUGAGGGGCAGGCGUUUGCUUCAGGGGUUGAAAAGAACUGGGGUACAGUAGUCCGUUCCCCCGAGGGGACCCCCCAGAAGGUCCGGCAGCUAAUAGAUGAAGGGAUUGCCCCGGAAGAGGGAGGCGCAGAAGCGAGGGAUACAUCUGCCACAUUCCAGUCAGUUAAUGGAUCACCCCAAGUAGAACAACCUCCAUUGGAGUCUACAAGCAAAGAAGCCUUCUUUAGCAGAGUAGAAACAUUUUCUUCCUUGAAAUGGGCAGGGAAGCCCCCUGAGCUGUCUCCACUUGUCUGUGCAAAAUAUGGUUGGGUCACAGUCGAGUGUGAUAUGCUCAAGUGUUCCAGCUGUCAAGCUUUUCUCUGUGCCAGUUUACAACCAGCUUUUGAUUUUGACAGAUAUAAGGAACGAUGUGCUGAGCUGAAGAAAUCCUUGUGUACUGCCCAUGAGAAGUUCUGUUUUUGGCCAGACAGCCCCUCUCCAGAUCGAUUUGGUAUGUUACCAUUGGAUGAGCCUGCUGUUCUUAUUAGUGAAUUCCUAGAUCGUUUUCAAAACCUUUGUCACUUGGACCUCCAGCUUCCUUCCCUGAGGCCAGAGGAUUUGAAAACUAUGUGCUUGACAGAAGACAAGAUCAGUCUUCUGCUACACCUGCUUGAAGAUGAACUUGAUCACGGAACUGAAGAGAGAAAAACUCCAAACAAAUUAGGCUCCGACAUCCAAGUCCACAUCACUGCCUGUGUUCUUGCUGUGUGUGGCUGGGCGUGUAGCUCUGCUUUGGAACCCAUGCAGCUCUCCCUGAUAACAUGUUCACAGUGUAUGCGGAAGGUGGGGCUCUGGGGCUUCCAGCAGAUUGAAUCAUCCAUGACUGACCUGGACACAUCAUUUGGCCUGACCAACUCCCCAGUUGCAGGCCCUGAGGGUCGUCCAGAACGCUUUCCUCUGGUGCCUGAAUCGCCUCGGAGGAUGAUGACUCGGAGCCAGGAUGCCACGUUUUCCCCAGGCUUAGAGCAGGUUGAAAAGAGCCCUAGUCCCAUUGUCUCCCGAACCCGGAGCUGGGACUCUUCUAGUCCUGUUGAUCGGCCUGAGCCGGAGGCAGCCAGCCCCACUACCAGAAGCCGCCCAGUGACCCGAAGCAUGGGAACAGGAGACUCUGCUGGCCUGGAAGUACCCUCUAGCCCUCUCCGGAAAGCCAAACGAGCUCGCCUCUGCUCUUCCAGCAGCUCAGACACAUCAUCUCGGAGCUUCUUUGAUCCCACCUCUCAGCACAGAGACUGGUGCCCUUGGGUGAAUAUCACACUUGGUAAAGAAUCCAGAGAGAAUGGUGGAACGGAGCUUGAUGCCAGCACCCCAGUAGAGCCGGGCUGGAAGGCAGUGCUGACCAUCCUUUUGGCCCAUAAACAGUCUAACCAGCCAGCUGAAACAGACUCCAUGAGUCUCUCUGAAAAAUCAAGAAAAGUAUUCCGAAUAUUCCGGCAGUGGGAAUCAUUAUGCUCAUCCUGAAGAUAUUCCAGCCCAUUCCUGGAGAGAACUGAAAUGAGAGUGACUUUUUGAAAAAUAAAGCCUGAAUUUCCUUUGGGUCAGCCGAUGCUGUUUUUCUCCAUUCUGGUUUAAUCAUAAGGAGCCCCUGCCAUUGUAGAGGCAGCUUAACCAACCCACCCUCAAGAAAGAAAGUGCUUAGAACAAUACCUGGCACAUGAUCUGACUGUCCUUUGAAUGGUCUUGAGAGUUUCCCAAGUCCUCUGGCUCCACAUUGACAAGCCUAUUUCAGGGGAAAUAUGUGUGUAUCUGGCUGUGUUCAUUUUCAUUUCUCUGGGAAGGUAAUCAUCUCAAGUUAUGAGAAUACACCUUCAGCACCUCCAGUGUAUGCUUUCUGCUGUUUCUUGUUUUCAGGGCGGAGGAUGGAAGCCAGAGCCUUGCAGAUGCUAGGCAAGCAUUCUACCACGGAGCCACACCUCCAGCCCUACAGCUUUCCAUUACUGGUUGUAGCUUCUCACAGCACUUAGUGUAUGUCAAGUCGUUCAUUCAUUCACCACAAAUUUCUUGAGCGCCUACUGCUGGGGAUACAACAGUGGGCAAAAUAGACACCUGCCCUCCAGAGAGUAUAACCUAGAGGACAAAGAUGGUCAUAGGGCUGGGGACAUAGCUCAGUUGGUAGAGUGCUUGCCUCGCAAACACAAGACGCUGGGUUCAAAUCCCCAGCACCACUAAAUAAAUAAACAAAUAAAUAAAGAUGGUCACAGGCCGUGAGACUGAUGUUCCUAACAAACCUGCAGAGUG